Neopsephotus bourkii (Bourke's parrot) is the source of this 1007-nucleotide long non-coding RNA. RefSeq lists it as uncharacterized. The transcript has 6 exons. Lineage: Eukaryota; Metazoa; Chordata; Aves; Psittaciformes; Psittacidae. The record is from RefSeq and is a predicted model, not a curated record.
AAAUAAAGAUAGCAAUCCACAAAGGAAUUAAAUACUGAUCUCAACAAAAGCCACCCUGUAUUAAUCUACAAAAGCAAACAGCCUAGACAGCAACAAUGGAAGCUUUUCUGGCCUGCUUUUUUUCUCUCUGGACCCAGAGAAGCAGCUAUUUUAGAGACUCUUCUGGUACCACUGAGAGUGUGAACUUUCAUAGACGCUAAUGUGAUUCACUCCAAUGAAGCUCUCAGAUCCAAAAUACUAAUCUUAAGAGUCAGAUGAGAGCUUGCUGCCGCAAUGGAUUCCAAAAGCAAACCUGUAUGAGAUCAGGAGUCAGCUGAUGCUGGAGUGUCUGCCUGCACCUGCAGUUGCAGCAGGGAUGUGAAGCAAAGUACAUCACACUGCAAUGAGGAAGCAUAACAGGGUUACCUGGUAUGGUCAAAGAAGUUAGCUCCAGUUGGAUGUGGCGUUCAUGAUACUUCAUUUGUGAUAUGAGAGGCUCAGGACUUGUUCAUAUAACAAGAUCAAUGUCUGAGAUUCAAUUUUUUCAUUCUUUUGUGGGAUCACAGAAAAAGGUCUGACAAAGGGCUUGAUGAACUGAACACAAAGGAGAAGAAUAAUGAGAACAGAGGCCUAAAUGGUUACGUGAGUUACUGCUUUCCACUUCCUUCCUGACCAGAGCUCUUGGGACUGGCUAAUAGAAGAUCUCUGCAGUGAAGCCCAUCUACGACAUGGCAGGGACAUUGUUUGUCUCUGGCAAAUGAAUUGUUGCUUGUAACAGGUGAAGAUGAAUUGGUACGGACAAUAGGAAGCUGUGUGUAUAGUAGUAAUUACAUCAGUGUUGGUGGUCUUAUGUCAGGGGAUCUCUCUCAGUAAUAUGUGCAACAGGAGGACAUGAAGCUGGUCUCUGGAAAGGAGGUAUGCAAGAAAACUUCUGAGCUUGUGCCAGACCCCUAUGAAAUCAAAGUUGCAGUUAUAGUGUCACCCUUGGGGUGUGAAGGCCUGAACUCCCAACAUCUCCAGGAGUGCAG